Molecule: ribosomal RNA, 497 nt
Filed under: uncultured bacterium
Lineage: Bacteria
Description: partial 16S ribosomal RNA
Rfam family: Bacterial small subunit ribosomal RNA
Source: RNAcentral
GAUGAACGCUGGCGGCGUGCCUAAUACAUGCAAGUCGAGCGAACAGACGAGGAGCUUGCUCCUCUGACGUUAGCGGCGGACGGGUGAGUAACACGUGGAUAACCUACCUAUAAGACUGGGAUAACUUCGGGAAACCGGAGAUAAUACCGGAUAAUAUAUUGAACCGCAUGGUUCAAUAGUGAAAGACGGUUUUGCUGUCACUUAUAGCUGGAUCCGCGCCGCAUUAGCUAGUUGGUAAGGUUACGGCCUACCAAGGCAACGAUGCGUAGCCGACCUGAGAGAGUGAUCGGCCACACUGGAACUGGGACACGGUCCAGACUCCUACGGGAGGCAGCAGUAGGGAAUCUUCCGCAAUGGGCGAGAGCCUGACGGAGCAACGCCGCGUGAGUGAUGAAGGUCUUCGGAUCGUAAAACUCUGUUAUUAGGGAAGAACAACUGUGUAAGUAACUAUGCACGUCUUGACGGUACCUAAUCAGAAAGCCACGGCUAACUACGUG